UACCUACGGGAGGCAGCAGCCGCGGUAAUACGUAUGGUGCAAGCGUUAUCCGGAUUUACUGGGUGUAAAGGGAGCGCAGGCGGUGCGGCAAGUCUGAUGUGAAAGCCCGGGGCUCAACCCCGGGACUGCAUUGGAAACUACCGAACUAGAGUGUCGGAGAGGUAAGUGGAAUUCCUAGUGUAGCGGUGAAAUGCGUAGAUAUUAGGAGGAACACCAGUGGCGAAGGCGGCUUACUGGACGAUAACUGACGCUGAGGCUCGAAAGCGUGGGGAGCAAACAGGAUUAGAAACCCCUGUAGUCCGUGU
This 305-nucleotide ribosomal RNA is filed under the name uncultured bacterium. RNAcentral's name for it is "bacterial SSU rRNA". It matches the Rfam family "Bacterial small subunit ribosomal RNA", at positions 498 to 800 of the family's 1533-position model. The record is from RNAcentral.